GAACGAACGCUGGCGGCAGGCCUAACACAUGCAAGUCGAACGUGAAGCCAGAGCUUGCUCUGGUGGAAAGUGGCAGACGGGUGAGUAACGCGUGGGAAUUUGCCCAGUGGUACGGAAUAACUCAGGGAAACUUGUGCUAAUGCCGUAUACGCCCUCCGGGGGAAAGAUUUAUCGCCAUUGGAUAAGCCCGCGUCGGAUUAGCUUGUUGGUGAGGUAAAAGCUCACCAAGGCGACGAUCCGUAGCUGGUCUGAGAGGAUGAUCAGCCACACUGGGACUGAGACACGGCCCAGACUCCUACGGGAGGCAGCAGUGGGGAAUAUUGCACAAUGGGCGCAAGCCUGAUGCAGCCAUGCCGCGUGAGUGACCAAGGCCUUAGGGUUGUAAAACUCUUUCACCGGUGAAGAUAAUGACGGUAGCCGGAGAAGAAGCCCCGGCUAACUCCGUGCCAGCAGCCGCGGUAAUACGGAGGGGGCUAGCGUUGUUCGGAAUUACUGGGCGUAAAGCGCGCGUAGGCGGACCUGCAAGUCGGGGGUGAAAGCCCGAGGCUCAACCUCGGAACUGCCUUCGAUACUGCGGGUCUUGAGUCCGGGAGAGGUGAGUGGAAUUCCUAGUGUAGAGGUGAAAUUCGUAGAUAUUAGGAAGAACACCAGUGGCGAAAGGCGGCUCACUGGCUCGAUACUGACGCUGAGCGCGAAAAGCGUGGGGGAGCAAACAGAUAGAUACCUGGUAGUCCACGCCGUAAACGAUGAAUGCUAGCCGUCGGGAAGCUUGCUUUUCGGUGGCGCAGCUAACGCAUUAAGCAUCCGCCUGGGGAGUACGGUCGCAAGAUUAAAACUCAAAGGAAUUGACGGGGCCCGCACAAGCGGUGGAGUAUGUGGUUUAAUUCGAUGCAACGCGAAGAACCUUACCUGCUCUUGACAUCCCGAUCGCGGUUUCCAGAGAUGGAUCCCUUCAGUUCGGCUGGAUUGGUGACAGGUGCUGCAUGGCUGUCGUCAGCUCGUGUCGUGAGAUGUUGGGUUAAGUCCCGCAACGAGCGCAACCCUCGCCAUUAGUUGCCAGCAGUAAGUUGGGCACUCUAAUGGGACUGCCGGUGUCAAACCGGAGGAAGGUGGGGAUGACGUCAAAUCAUCAUGGCCCUUACGGGCUGGGCUACACACGUGCUACAAUGGCGGUGACAGUGAGCAGCCACUCAGCAAUGGGGAGCUAAUCUCUAAAAGCCGUCUCAGUUCGGAUUGUUCUCUGCAACUCGAGAGCAUGAAGUUGGAAUCGCUAGUAAUCGUGGAUCAGCAUGCCACGGUGAAUACGUUCCCGGGCCUUGUACACACCGCCCGUCACACCACGGGAGUUGGUUGUACCAGAAGCAGUUGAGCUAACUUCGGAGGCAGCAGGCCACGGUAAGGUCAGCGACUGGGGU
This 1415-nucleotide ribosomal RNA is filed under the name uncultured prokaryote. RNAcentral's name for it is "partial 16S ribosomal RNA". It matches the Rfam family "Bacterial small subunit ribosomal RNA". The record is from RNAcentral.